This is an RNA transcript of Cannabis sativa, 1668 nucleotides long. RefSeq lists it as uncharacterized. The record is from RefSeq and is a predicted model, not a curated record. The transcript has 3 exons. NCBI's taxonomy places the organism in Eukaryota, Viridiplantae, Streptophyta, Magnoliopsida, Rosales, Cannabaceae.
UUUGGGUAAGACUUCCUGGAUCUGAUACCUCUGCUGAUGACACCGACAACAAUCGAAUGACAUGGGAAAAUAAUCGCCGGUCUUCAUAGGCUGUGUCCAUAAGAUUCCACAAGUUUGUUAACUCUUUACCUAGCAGGUGACACUAAUUAGGUCGUUUAAUUGAAGGCAAAUUCAGCCGAACAUCUAAUAUCAGAUCUAACCUUUUCAAGCCGCUUUUGCUUUUCUUGCUCGAGGGAAUCCACCGCGCUGUUGAGCUUAACCAAGACAUGGUUGCUUAUGUUUUUUGAAAUCCCACACAAAUCAUUUAAGCUUGGGUGAACUUCACCAAUGAUAUUGGUUGAAUCCAGUCCUAAUAUUGUAGACAGCUUGUGGACUGUAUCUGUAUAAUGUUCCACUUUCUGGAGACGUUCAUUCUGUAAAAAAUUUUCUGAAUUUGGCCUUGCACAGUUCGGAACUGGUUCAUCCUCUCCUCUUUCCUCGAUCUCAUCUCCUGUAGAGCUGGUGUGAUGGAGUCUAGCUGCUCUUUCAGUGUUCCUGCCAGUCUAUCUGGCUGAUAAGAUGAAGGAUAUAAAUCAGUUCAAUGAAGUGCAACAAAAGGAUUGCUUUAAUGAUUCACAAAUCAUGAACUUAGAUCCUACUGCUAUUCGGUUAAUGAAACAUUGUAUUAAGGCAUGUCCUUUAUCAUAUUAUUUGACUUAACAGGGUUUUAGUUGAACUACCCGACCAGGGAAUGAUCGUUCACCAAGUGAUAAAAGAAGAUGAGUAAAUUCAGCCUCAGCUUCCGCCAGCUCCUGAUGCAGGCGAGCUCUUGACGUAUUUGCUGCAUCAACUUUUCUCCUGUAGACCUCCACACACUCUUGUUCCAAAUCUAGUAAGACCUUUUCUCUUUCAAAUUGAUCUUCUCCUACUUCAUUCCAUAUCAUCUGUCAAAUUUUAGUUUGAGGAAAAAGUAAUGUCAAAAUGAGUAUCAUGAUAGAAACCAUUUCUAAUCUAUUAUAUUCAUUCAUAAAUAUUUAAUGAUGAAAUAAAGCUCUUGCCUGCAAUUCUUGUAGUAGAUAUCCACAUGAAGUUUCUAUCAUUGUUGAACUUCGUGUUCCUAUCGAAGUUUGAAAUGAACUCAUGGGAUGCUGCUUGCUCUAUAUGCAGAUCUCAGAGAUUAUUGUUAUUAUUAUUAUUUUUGGCUAAAAGGGGGUGAAGUUCCUUGAUUGGCAGCUAAGGAAUGAGGGACAGGGAAGAGAAAAGAGAAGAGAGAGUCAAAUUUAGUGGAGCUUUGGUUGUGAGUUUUGCUUUAAAGACAAGGGUGACUGACAGGUUGGUACCCCUAAGCUUUGGGUUCAAGAAUCACCAAGUUAUGUCUUUGCAGUCUUCUCUCUUUCCCUCUAUUAAUAUUUGAACUGAAAAUAAUGAGCUAAUAUGGAACUCUCUCAACUCAUUAAGUUAAAAUCUCUCAUUCAGAGAUUUGUUUACUUAUUUAGUAUUUACAUUGACUUGCCUUAAUAACACGUAAAUUCUAAGCAACAUAGGCCUUUGAUAAAAAAGUUCUGCGCUCAAUUUAGAAUGUUCACAUCUGGCUUUUUAUGGUUGAGUAUUGAGUUACCUGUAAUCUAAUCUAUGAUAUAAACAGUGUCAAAGAUCGGAUGAUGAUCACCAACCAAAUCACAAAUUCCU